RNAcentral lists this ribosomal RNA (726 nucleotides) under Triticum aestivum (bread wheat). RNAcentral describes it as "partial small subunit ribosomal RNA". Lineage: Eukaryota; Viridiplantae; Streptophyta; Magnoliopsida; Poales; Poaceae. The record is from RNAcentral.
AUGACUCUGGCGGGCCGGGGCGUUUUGGUGCGUGCGGUGCUCUUGGCACUGCCCACUUUUGCGCUGACUGUGCUCAAGGUGCCGAAGAAGAUCCCCAAGGAAAUUGACAAGGCUUGGCGCCGCUUUCUCUGGGCUCAAGACGAUGCGCUAUCUGGAGGCAAGUGCAAGGUGGCUUGGAGCACGGUGUGCUCCCCGACGGAGAAGGGCGGGCUGGGGCUUCCUGGCUUGCAGCGAUUUGGCUCCGCCCUUCGUCUGCGCUGGCUGUGGAUAUCCUGGCUGCAGCCGGUAAGGCCCUGGGUUGCCUUCCCUUUGCCAUGCGACAAACUGGACAAAGAGCUCAUUGCCAAAGCCACAGCUGUCUCGAUCGGCGAAGGCCAAAAAGCGGGGUUUUGGACAUGCCCUUGGCUUGACAACUCCCCGCUGAGUGAAUCCUUCCUAAGCCUCUUCAAGCACUCGCGUCAGAAGAAUCGGACGGUGGCUGCUGCACUUGAAAAUGACCAGUGGAUCAAGGACCUUCGCCACGGUGACACGGCAUCCAUCGUUGUUGAUUUCUUGUGCCUCUGGCGGCGACUUCAGCAGGCUGAGAUCGUUCUCGACAACCAAUUGCAUGACCAGAUUGUUUGGACUGCUGGAGGGGGCACAGCUUACUCAGCCAGUGCGGCGUACAAGAUGCAUUUCAAGACCAUGCCGACCACGAGCCACAGAAACAUUGUUUGGAAAUGCUAG